RNAcentral lists this ribosomal RNA (447 nucleotides) under Schizochytrium aggregatum. RNAcentral describes it as "partial Bacterial large subunit ribosomal RNA". It matches the Rfam family "Bacterial large subunit ribosomal RNA", at positions 1835 to 2290 of the family's 2925-position model. The record is from RNAcentral. Lineage: Eukaryota; Bigyra; Thraustochytrida; Thraustochytriidae.
AAGAUGAUGUAUAGGGGGUGACGCCUGCCCGGUGCUGGAAGAUUAAAUGAUGGGGUGCAAGCUCUUGAUUGAAGUCCCAGUAAACGGCGGCCGUAACAAUAACGGUCCUAAGGUAGCGAAAUUCCUUGUCGGGUAAGUUCCGACCUGCACGAAUGGCGUAACGAUGGCGGCGCUGUCUCCACCCGAGACUCAGUGAAAUUGAAAUCGCUGUGACGAUGCAGUGUUCCCGCGGCAAGACGGAAAGACCCCGUGAACCUUCACUACAACUUUACAUUGGACUUUGAAAUUGCUUGUGUAGGAUAGGUGGGAGGCUUUGAAGCGUGGACGCCAGUUCGCGUGGAGCCAACCUUGAAAUACCACCCUGGCAACUUUGAGGUUCUAACUCAGGUCCGUUAUCCGGAUCGAGGACAGUGUAUGGUGGGUAGUUUGACUGGGGCGGUCUCCUCC